AUUGAACGCUGGCGGCAGGCUUAACACAUGCAAGUAGAGCGGGGGAAGGUAGCUUGCUACCGGACCUAGCGGCGGACGGGUGAGUAAUGCUUAGGAAUCUGCCUAUUAGUGGGGGACAACAUCUCGAAAGGGAUGCUAAUACCGCAUACGUCCUACGGGAGAAAGCAGGGGAUCUUCGGACCUUGCGCUAAUAGAUGAGCCUAAGUCGGAUUAGCUAGUUGGUGGGGUAAAGGCCUACCAAGGCGACGAUCUGUAGCGGGUCUGAGAGGAUGAUCCGCCACACUGGGACUGAGACACGGCCCAGACUCCUACGGGAGGCAGCAGUGGGGAAUAUUGGACAAUGGGGGGAACCCUGAUCCAGCCAUGCCGCGUGUGUGAAGAAGGCCUUAUGGUUGUAAAGCACUUCAAGCGAGGAGGAGGCUACUUUAGUUAAUACCUAGAGAUAGUGGACGUUACUCGCAGAAUAAGCACCGGCUAACUCUGUGCCAGCCGCCGCCGUAA
RNAcentral lists this ribosomal RNA (501 nucleotides) under uncultured bacterium. RNAcentral describes it as "partial 16S ribosomal RNA". It matches the Rfam family "Bacterial small subunit ribosomal RNA", at positions 30 to 523 of the family's 1533-position model. The record is from RNAcentral.